Molecule: ribosomal RNA, 253 nt
Filed under: uncultured bacterium
Lineage: Bacteria
Description: partial 16S ribosomal RNA
Rfam family: Bacterial small subunit ribosomal RNA
Source: RNAcentral
GACGUAGGAGGCGAGCGUUAUCCGGAUUCACUGGGCGUAAAGCGCAUGUAGGCGGUUCGUCAAGUCGUGUGUUAAAGCCCCUGGCUCAACUGGGGGAGGUCAUGCGAGACUGACAGACUUGAGGGCAGUAGAGGCACGUGGAACUCCCGGUGUAGCGGUGGAAUGCGUAGAGAUCGGCAGGAACACCCAGGGGGAAACCAGCUGCCUGGGCAAGCGCUGACGCUGAGGUGCGAGAGCGUGGGGAGCGAACCGG